ACCAUCCCAGUUCGGAUCGCAGGCUGCAACCCGCCUGCGUGAAGUUGGAAUCGCUAGUAAUCGCGGAUCAGCAUGCCGCGGUGAAUACGUUCCCGGGCCUUGUACACACCGCCCGUCACACCAUGAGAGUCGGGGACACCCGAAGUCCGUAGCCUAACCGCAAGGGGGGCGCGGCCGAAGGUGGAUUCGAUAAUUGGGGUGAAGUCGUAACAAGGUAGC
Molecule: ribosomal RNA, 219 nt
Filed under: uncultured bacterium
Lineage: Bacteria
Description: partial 16S ribosomal RNA
Rfam family: Bacterial small subunit ribosomal RNA
Source: RNAcentral